Molecule: long non-coding RNA, 533 nt
Organism: Carassius carassius (crucian carp)
Lineage: Eukaryota; Metazoa; Chordata; Actinopteri; Cypriniformes; Cyprinidae
Exons: 2
Source: RefSeq, a predicted model, not a curated record
GGUAUCUGUCUGUGGCCUGGGCGACUUUUACGAUCUAACUUCAAGAUAAAACGCUCAUCCGUUUGACAUGUAAAUGUCAUAGCUACUUUUUGUAUAGUUUGGGCAAAGGGAAAAGCUAAAUUGCAAAAGGCAAGUGGCCAUUGGUACACUGCGGGGACUUCUGCUCGGCUCUCAAAACUUAGAGGUAGAGAAGAGUUUGGCACGAAUGGUAGCUUCUUCCUCGUUGAAGAACCACGGAAUCCGGAGAGACAACUGGAUUGCAAUGGACUUAGAGAGCCAACUUUUCUGAAAACAUCUGUGGAAGUCACUUAUUUAGUGAGAAGGAGUGAACAAUUUUUCACCCGUCUGGAUAUGGAGUUGUUGUUGUUGUUUUUUUUUAUGAAUUUGUUGUUGUCAAGUAUGCUAUAACGUUCUGUAAAUUCACCCGAGUGUGGAGCAUAUGUGAGUAUGUCAGAUGUGGAUUAAUGAACAUUAAUACACGCGUGUCUAAUUUUUCUUGUCUGUUUAUAUCAUGCUCAGCCUAUGUGGAAAAA